CGUUGAGAUUCCGUGGGUGCGAGUCACUUGAAGAGCUUCCUAGAAAUAAAAUGUGCAAUCUGAUCAGCUUGAGGCAUAUUGAAUUUUCUGAAGAUCACCACAUGCCAUCUAAGGUGGGGUGGUUAACAUGUCUCCAAACACUUUCAUUAUUUGUUGUGGGUCCAGAUGGGGGAGGUAGCAUUCAAGAACUACAAUGCUUAAAUCAACUAAGAGGAAAGUUGGAAAUAAAUCAUCUUGAGAAGGUGAGAGACAAAGAAGAAGCUAAGAAAUCAAAUCUACUGGGGAAAACGAAAUUGAGUGCCCUUAAAUUUGUAUGGAGUGAUUUUGGAAGAGAAAGCAGCAGCGGCAGCAAUGAUGAGGAGGUGUUGGAAGGGCUUGAGCCUCACCCAAACAUAGAGAGGAUAGAGAUUUGGAAUUAUUUGGGUGAAAAGUUCCCACCGUGGCUGUUUAUGAUGAAAAUUCUGAGUGAAGGUGAUGUUGGAUUAUUGAGACGAAGAGAGCUUGAUUUUACUUUCUUAAAACAGAGCUUGAAGUUACAAACAUAAAUAGAGCAAAAAAAAAAAAUGUUUAAAGAUGAAGAGAAAAACAUAAAUUUCAUUACUGAAACAUAAAUAGAACAUACGCUACUUUUUUACCUCAUUUCACUAGCUCUCUCCAAAUCUUUUCUCUCUGCCCUAUUUUUAUUUAUUUAUUUCUUUUUUCAGCAGCAACCUCUUCCUUCUUAUGAGGAAAGAUUGCUUUCUUUUUAUUUUCCUUUUCUUACACAUAUUUUUACCUACUGAAAUCUCAUCAACUCUAACAGGUGAUUCUUUCACAGUACUUGAUAAUUUGGUGGAACUUCAAUUGUGGAGGUGCAAGUGGUGUGAAAAACUCCCAAGGCUUGGACAUCUUCCUCAUCUUAAAACGAUUGAAAUAGGACGAAUGGAUAAGAUCCGCUGCAUAGGGAAUGAAUUCUAUGGCAUUGACGGUGGAAGCACCAGCAAUGGAGGGAGAACAUUUCCUGCAUUAAAGAAAUUACGGUUAAGUUAUAUGCAGUGUUUAGUUGAAUGGAAGGCACCAAUAGAUGGAGGAGGUGAAACAUCUGUUUUUCCUUGCCUCGAAGUAUUGUCCAUAUGGGAUUGUCCUCGGUUGACAAAAAUUCCAUUAAGCGAUCUUCCAUAGCUUCAAAGACUGGAAAUCGAUGGUUGUGAAAAAUUCUUAUUUAAUGAGCUAUACACCUUCCCAUCUCUUAAAAGCAUUAAACUUAGAGGGUGUAGCAAAUUAACUUGCCUUCCAAGUGGGCUAAAAUCCUCCACUUCUUUGGAAUCAUUGGAAAUAGAUAGAUGCAACAGGUUGACAUCUGUUCCGGAAUAUUUAGGAGAAUUGCUUUCUCUUAAUAUUUUACGAAUAACAGGGUGUCAAAGUUUGAGUUACUUUUCAGAGACAAUAUUAGGGGGGCUCACUCAAUUGAGGAAUCUAGAAAUUGGUCCAUUCUCAGAGGAGUUGGAUUCUUUCUCUUAUCUGAAUUCAAUCCAAGACCUUCCAUCCCUUGAAUCCUUAUCUAUAUAUGACGAUGGUGCAGGCAGAAUAAAGUCUCUACCAGAUCAACUUCAACGACUCACUGCCCUAAACUCAUUGUCUAUAUGGGAUUUCAAUGGAGUGGAAGCUUUGCCGGAGUGGUUGGGCAACCUUUCCUCUCUUCAAUCCCUUGAAAUUUGGGAUUGUGAGAAUCUGAAGUAUCUACCUACAGCUACAGCCAUGCAACGCCUCUCCAAAUUAAGGAAUCUCGGUAUUGUGUCUUGUCCCCAUCUUGUGAUAAAUUGCGCCAAGGAUAGUGGCUCUGAGUGGUCCAAGAUAUCUCAUAUCCCAUAUAUACGUAUACAAGGGUAAUUACCAUUUUUUUUUCCCGGCUCUUUGGAUGCGCACAUUGAACUAGCUUUAUUAGUGAAUUCUCAGAUGGAAACAAGGUUCAAAGUCACUCUAUUUUUGACCUGGAAUAAUUAAGUUACAUGUUGGAGUCUCAGAAAUAAGCUCUUUGCCAAAGAAAGGAAGAAAAAAGCUGGAAAAUUUUCCUCCACAUAAUAUUUCAUGAGGUCAUUUAUGUAGCUGCUGGAGGCCUUCGUCGUGAUUCCAUGAUACAAAAUCCUUGAUGAAGUCAUUUAUGUAGCUGUCUGCAGUUCCACUCGCUCCAAUUCCAUGUAAUGGGACAUUUUAAGCUGCUACCUCGAAUGCAAGAUUAAGAUUACUAAUGGGGAUAUGUUGCUAUUGUUAAAUCUUACAUUUUUGAGCAAUUCUGAUAGUCUCACUGUUUGUUGGAGAUUGCAGGAGGCAAGAUUAUUUCAUAUGCACAUUUGCUAAGUCUUUUCUGGAAUUUUCUCCUUUCAUUUGAGCCAGUUGGGAAAGGCAAAAAAUUUUCAACUGAGUUGAAAGUCAAUGAGGCGUUCCAUUUUAAUUUUUUUUUAUGGAUAUUUGAAUUUCAGCCAUUGGUAAUCUCUAAUUAAUAUUGACUAAUUGUGGUCAAUUGUGACUUUGAUAAUGAAACACAUUUGCAAUGAAGAGGUUAACUGUUUUGUUGUGCUUUUAGAAUGUCUUUGGUGCUGUCAAUGUUCUCCCAAGUGGAAGACAAAAAAAGCUUUGGAGAUUGUUAUUAUCUCCUCAAGGGACAAAUUUCAAGUUUUUGUGCAAUAAAGAUGAGUUGGCAUCACCAGCUUGAGCUUUGA
Molecule: long non-coding RNA, 2699 nt
Organism: Hevea brasiliensis (rubber tree)
Lineage: Eukaryota; Viridiplantae; Streptophyta; Magnoliopsida; Malpighiales; Euphorbiaceae
Exons: 4
Source: RefSeq, a predicted model, not a curated record